This 474-nucleotide ribosomal RNA is filed under the name uncultured bacterium. Its description in RNAcentral is "SSU rRNA". It matches the Rfam family "Bacterial small subunit ribosomal RNA", at positions 26 to 518 of the family's 1533-position model. The record is from RNAcentral.
AGAGCGAACGCUGGCGGCAGGCUUAACACAUGCAAGUCGAGCGGAAAGGCCCUUCGGGGUACUCGAGCGGCGAACGGGUGAGUAACACGUGAGCAACCUGCCCCUGGCUCUGGGAUAGCCUCCGGAAACGGGGAUUAAUACCGGACAUGACUCCUGACCGCAUGGUUGGGGGUGGAAAGUUUUUCGGCCAGGGUGGGGCUCGCGGCCUAUCAGCUUGUUGGGGGGGUGACGGCCCACCAAGGCGACGACGGGUAGCCGGCCUGAGAGGGCGACCGGCCACACUGGGACUGAGACACGGCCCAGACUCCUACGGGAGGCAGCAGUGGGGAAUAUUGCGCAAUGGGCGGAAGCCUGACGCAGCGACGCCGCGUGCGGGAUGAAGGCCUUCGGGUUGUAAACCGCUUUCACCAGGGCGAAGCGAGAGUGACGGUACCUGGGGAAGAAGCGCCGGCUAACGUACGCGCCAGCAGCCGC